Molecule: ribosomal RNA, 587 nt
Filed under: uncultured bacterium
Lineage: Bacteria
Description: bacterial SSU rRNA
Rfam family: Bacterial small subunit ribosomal RNA
Source: RNAcentral
UCCUACGGGAGGCAGCAGUGGGGAAUAUUGCACAAUGGGGGAAACCCUGAUGCAGCCAUGCCGCGUGUGUGAAGAAGGCCUUCGGGUUGUAAAGCACUUUCAGUGGUGAGGAAAGGGUGAUAGUUAAUAGCUAUCACAGUUGACGUUAGCCACAGAAGAAGCACCGGCUAACUCCGUGCCAGCAGCCGCGGUAAUACGGAGGGUGCAAGCGUUAAUCGGAAUUACUGGGCGUAAAGCGUACGUAGGCGGUGUGUUAAGCUAGAUGUGAAAGCCCCGGGCUCAACCUGGGAAUAGCAUUUAGAACUGGCACGCUAGAGUCCUGAAGAGGGUGGUAGAAUUUCCAGUGUAGCGGUGAAAUGCGUAGAUAUUGGAAGGAAUACCGGUGGCGAAGGCGGCCACCUGGUCAGAGACUGACGCUGAGGUACGAAAGCGUGGGGAGCAAACAGGAUUAAAUACCCUGGUAGUCCACGCCGUAAACGAUGUCAACUAGUUGUUCGUGUCAUUAAGACGUGAGUAACGCAGCUAACGCACUAAGUUGACCGCCUGGGGAGUACGGCCGCAAGGUUAAAACUCAAAUGAAUUGACAG